Molecule: ribosomal RNA, 439 nt
Filed under: uncultured bacterium
Lineage: Bacteria
Description: partial 16S ribosomal RNA
Rfam family: Bacterial small subunit ribosomal RNA
Source: RNAcentral
CUACGGGGCGCAGCAGUGAGGAAUAUCGCACAAUGGGGGGAACCCUGAUGCAGCAACGCCGCGUGGAGGAUGACGCAUUUCGGUGUGUAAACUCCUUUUAUAUGUCAAGAAAAUGACGGUAGCAUAUGAAUAAGCACCGGCUAACUCCGUGCCAGCAGCCGCGGUAAUACGGAGGGUGCAAGCGUGAAUCGGAAUUACUGGGCGUAAAGGACGCGUAGGCGGGUUGGAAAGUCAGGUGUGAAAUCCUACAGCUUAACUGUAGAACUGCACUUGAAACUUCUAAUCUAGAGUGUGGGAGGGGGAGAUGGAAUUAGUGGUGUAGGGGUAAAAUCCGUAGAUAUCACUAGGAAUACCUAAAGCGAAGGCGAUCUCCUGGAACAUUACUGACGCUAAGGCGUGAAAGCGUGGGGAGCAAACAGGAUUAGAUACCCUGGUAGUC